This 1840-nucleotide long non-coding RNA is filed under the name Musa acuminata (dwarf banana). Its description in RNAcentral is "long non-coding RNA (MACU_LNC004971)". The record is from RNAcentral. Lineage: Eukaryota; Viridiplantae; Streptophyta; Magnoliopsida; Zingiberales; Musaceae.
UUUUCUAUAAUAAAGUGCCAGAAACUGAAAGCCAUUUUUUCUUCUUUUCCAAAUCUACACUUAAAUAUGCAAUUUUCUUUUUUCAGUCUCUCCUUAGGAAAACCUAAUAUUUUGUUCUAAGCUUUCGACAACUCAUGGAAUUGCAUUGCAUUAAUCAAGAAAGGCUGCAAGGGGUUUUAGACUCUGAUUUAUACUAUCUUCGUUUUUUUUGGUUAGGGAAUUACAUUGCAUUGCAUUGAACUAAGGUUGACCAAUGACAUAUUCUCUUUUCCUUUUCUGAGAAGCUUUUUAUUCUAGUUGACAACCAUGCUAGAAUUUGACAUUUAUAUAGCCUAUUGAUGUUCCACAUUCAACUCUAUGAUAGGUAUCACUGGUUCUGUAUUUAUCAGCUUAAUUAAUUUGUAAAUAGAAUACAGUAACUGUUAGUAUCUUGUUGUUUAACAUGCCAUUAGUCGUGUUCUCGUCCUUUUUUUUGUGUGGAUAUUUUUGUUUAUGGUCGAACUUUUAUUGAUAUUAAAUGCUAUCGGGAGUCAUAUUGUGGUCUCGUGUUCAAUUUUUUGGUUUUUUUGAGAUAAUUUUGUGUGCUGAUGUCUAGAUAAAAUCAUCAUUUGCUCUAAGAAACAUAGAUACAGACACAGGACAUGGACACGACACAGACACAACGAUAUGUCAUUUUCUUUAAAAAAUUAGGAUACGGAGACGGCAAGGACAUGCGUAUUUUUAAUAUAUAUAAAAUAUUUGAUUAAUAUGAGUUUUAUGAUAUUUAUAUUUAAAAUUUAUGGCACAUUUGGCAUUAUCUACAUAACUUACUUUACUUUUGUUAUAAAUUUUAUACCUAAUCAAGGUAUGCAAUACCGUACCGUACCGGUGUUUCGAGGUUAGCUCGGUACGGUAUGGUACCGUGUAUCGAGUGGUAUACCAGGGCAUACCGAGCGGUAUGUCAGGACAUAUCGAGCAGUACACCUAAUUUUAAAUAUUUCUUUCUCUCUAUUGCAGCACUGUAGCACUGCUAUAGUGUAACACUAUCGCACUGUAGCACGUUAGCGGUCCGCGUACCGGUAUAUCGUCGGAUUGGUACGUACCGUCCGUAUCGGGCGGUACCAUUCGAAAUUGCAUACCAUGUACCUGACUUAUUACUAAUAAGAGACAAUAACAUAAUUUACCAUCAAUAUAGUUAUGUGACAUUGUAAUUUAGGGAAUAUAAAAGGUCAUCAAUUCCUUAAAAAAUGCUAAAUAGAAACAAAAAGCCUUGAGAAGGCUUUAUGUGAUUGUCACGGGUUUAUUGUUUGCGUAUGAGCGAGGCAAUGGAUCAAUGAGAGGGACGUCGAUGGAAACUCAUGAGCGAGGCCGCCAAGGGCGCGAUUGGAUAGGGCCGCCUGAUGGGUGCUGGUGAAGUCAUCGACGGGUCGCCGAGGGUGUGGCCAUGUGGCUGCUGGUGAAGUCACCGACGAGGGUGGCUAAGGGGGCGAUCGCAUAGGUCAUGCGAAGGGUGCUAGUUAAGUCAUCGACGAGGGUUAGGUUGUUGAUGAGGGUGUGGUCGUUGAUAGGUCAUGGUGUGUGCGACGAUGGUUCUAGCCUUCCUGAGGACGGUGGAUGCAGGUGGGCUUGAUUUCCCUCAAUUCCAUGCUUCCCUCCAUCGCAUGAAGAUUAUGCAACAAAGCAUCGCACGUGAGCGUCACGCCAGGAAGGGGGAAUGACACGGGAGAAGCAUCCGACACGGAAACGCUAUGUCCCAAAUAAAAAAUAAUAAAUAAAUAAAAAGACGUGUCUGACCAUGUUGGUGACAUAUUUGUGUUCGACAUGGAUGCGUCCACCAAGUUGAUGUGUCCGUGCUUCCCAG